GUAGUCUGUGAUGAUUGCACUCUGAAGUUUGCCUGAUUUCCGCUUGGAAUGUGAAGGCAACUGUAGUCACUACCUCUUCUGAGACAC
This is a small nucleolar RNA of Varanus komodoensis (Komodo dragon), 87 nucleotides long. The record is from Ensembl. NCBI's taxonomy places the organism in Eukaryota, Metazoa, Chordata, Lepidosauria, Squamata, Varanidae.